UACGUAGGGUGCAAGCGUUGUCCGGAAUUAUUGGGCGUAAAGAGCUCGUAGGCGGUUUGUCGCGUCUGCUGUGAAAACCCGAGGCUCAACCUCGGGCCUGCAGCCGAUACGGGCAGACUAGAGUUCGGCAGGGGAGACUGGAAUUCCUGGUGUAGCGGUGAAAUGCGCAGAUAUCAGGAGGAACACCGGUGGCGAAGGCGGGUCUGUGGGCCGAUACUGACGCUGAGGAGCGAAAGCGUGGGGAGCGAACAGG
This 253-nucleotide ribosomal RNA is filed under the name uncultured bacterium. RNAcentral describes it as "partial 16S ribosomal RNA". It matches the Rfam family "Bacterial small subunit ribosomal RNA", at positions 524 to 776 of the family's 1533-position model. The record is from RNAcentral.